GAUGAACGCUGGCGGCGUGCCUAAUACAUGCAAGUCGAGCGAACAGACGAGGAGCUUGCUCCUCUGACGUUAGCGGCGGACGGGUGAGUAACACGUGGAUAACCUACCUAUAAGACUGGGAUAACUUCGGGAAACCGGAGCUAAUACCGGAUAAUAUAUUGAACCGCAUGGUUCAAUAGUGAAAGACGGUUUUGCUGUCACUUAUAGAUGGAUCCGCGCCGCAUUAGCUAGUUGGUAAGGUAACGGCUUACCAAGGCAACGAUGCGUAGCCGACCUGAGAGAGUGAUCGGCCACACUGGAACUGAGACACGGUCCAGACUCCUACGGGAGGCAGCAGUAGGGAAUCUUCCGCAAUGGGCGAAAGCCUGACGGAGCAACGCCGCGUGAGUGAUGAAGGUCUUCGGAUCGUAAAACUCUGUUAUUAGGGAAGAACAAAUGUGUAAGUAACUAUGCACGUCUUGACGGUACCUAAUCAGAAAGCCACGGCUAACUAUGUG
RNAcentral lists this ribosomal RNA (497 nucleotides) under uncultured bacterium. Its description in RNAcentral is "partial 16S ribosomal RNA". It matches the Rfam family "Bacterial small subunit ribosomal RNA", at positions 28 to 507 of the family's 1533-position model. The record is from RNAcentral.